Molecule: small nuclear RNA, 107 nt
Organism: Camelus dromedarius (Arabian camel)
Lineage: Eukaryota; Metazoa; Chordata; Mammalia; Artiodactyla; Camelidae
Source: Ensembl
AUGCUCGUUUCGGCAGCAGCACAUAUACUAAACUUAGAAUGAUAUGGAGAUUAGUAUGGCCCCUGCGCAAGGAUGACAAGCAAAUCCGUGAAGUGUUCUGUAUUUUU